AUUUCGUGAUAAGGGCACUUCCGUAAUAAUUAUUUGUACCUUUCCCAUGCCUUAUACAAGGACUCAUCAUCCAUAUGUUGAAAAUCAGUGAUCUGGUUCCUCAACUU
Molecule: non-coding RNA, 107 nt
Organism: Gossypium raimondii (Peruvian cotton)
Lineage: Eukaryota; Viridiplantae; Streptophyta; Magnoliopsida; Malvales; Malvaceae
Source: Rfam